RNAcentral lists this ribosomal RNA (465 nucleotides) under uncultured bacterium. Its description in RNAcentral is "partial 16S ribosomal RNA". It matches the Rfam family "Bacterial small subunit ribosomal RNA", at positions 338 to 795 of the family's 1533-position model. The record is from RNAcentral.
CCUACGGGGUGCAGCAGUGGGGAAUCUUGCGCAAUGGGCGAAAGCCUGACGCAGCGCCGCCGCGUGAGGGAUGAAGGUCUUCGGAUCGUCAAUCUCUGUCAGCAGGGAAGAACGGUCACUGUGCUAAUCAGCCGUGCAUUGCCGGUACCUGCAAAGGAAGCACCGGCUAACUCCGGGCCAGCAGCCGCGGUAAUACGGAGGGGGCGAGCGUUAAUCGGAAUUACUGGGCGUAAAGCGCUCUUAGGCGGUAGGUCAAGGCAAGGGGGAAAUCCACGCGCUCAAACUGGGAACUGCCUGUGAAACUGGCAAACUGGAGUGUGUGAGAGGAUAGUGGAAUUCCAGGUGUAGGAGUGAAAUCCGUAGAGAUCUGGAGGAACAUCAGUGGCGAAGGCGACUAUCUGGCACAUAACUGACGCUGAGGAGCGAAAGCGUGGGUAGCAAACAGGAUUAGAUACCCCUGUAGUC